UGCGUUUCAAUGACACUGAAGUCUGAUUCCACUUAAUUUCAUACUGCUGGUGAGUGAUUAGUGUUCUUAGUAUUCACAGAUAUGAAAUGUGCCCCAUCUUUUACUAAGGAAAAACGAUGACAACCACGCACAAAAACAGUAUUCUCAGUAUCCACCUGAUGUUGGGCUUCAUGGUUUACAAUCACGAGACCGUCAUAUGUGAUUCAUCCACGUUAAGAGAUGAGCUUGACUGAAAGGUCUGUAGCUUGAAAACUUUACUUGUCUUAACAAAAGCAUUUAAUGGUUGAUUUCUACAGUUUGAUUCUCUUCGUAUAAAACCAUUGAUUUGUCUAUUGAGUCUUCAAGUUGUGUACCCUCCAAUGAAAAAAUAUCUCAGAUCACAAUCUAAUCUAGUGCUCAAUCAUUGUGAAAUCCAACAAACAUCAAAACGAUGCAGUCACAAGACGUUCUGAAAUAACAUUUCAAUACAGAAAAUAAAUAAAUGAAUAAAUAAAUCUAAGUACAGUUAAAUGCAGAUAUCAAUGGCUUUUUUGAAUACAAGAACUCCACAGAUCUUUUAAAAACACCAAUUCAAUGACAAGAGAAUGAAUAUGUACAUACAUACUCAUUCAUAAUCGUCUCCAUCCACACCACCAACUUUCAGGUGCAAAUGCUUCUCACGCUUAUGAAAUUCUGUAGUUCCUUUUCCGCUACCUGUGACACCUACCUUCCCCUUAGGAUCAUCCGGAGUUUUAAAAAUACUCUCCCUUUUACGCCCCGUGAAGAACCCCACUUGCUGCUAGAAAAUUCACACAAUGCGCCAAAUUAAUAAUGGGCAGCGGUUGUUCAGGAAAAUGACACACUGAGUUUUUGGAUAGUAAUGAAUUAAAAAUCCUUAAAUCCUCCAUAUUUAAUAAACAUCAAGCUGGAAGUAAUAAGGAAUGCAGAGGUAAUAGGAUUAGGCAAUCUUCAAAAAGGUUCAAGACAAAACAAGUUAUCACUCACUUUUUUCGUUUUCCCUUUUGUAGUUUGAAACUGCUGCCAAGCAUUUUGAUGCUUAUUCUGUGUCAGCUCCAUCUGUUCAAGCCUAGCCUUCGACUUGAAAGCAUGGAUCUUUUUCUUCUUUGCCGCUUUCUGCAAAAGAAUCACGGAUCCUUAAAUGAACUUGUUUG
RNAcentral lists this long non-coding RNA (1151 nucleotides) under Physcomitrium patens. Its description in RNAcentral is "long non-coding RNA (PPAT_LNC006287)". The record is from RNAcentral. Lineage: Eukaryota; Viridiplantae; Streptophyta; Bryopsida; Funariales; Funariaceae.